Cavia porcellus (domestic guinea pig) is the source of this 104-nucleotide small nucleolar RNA. It matches the Rfam family "Small nucleolar RNA U13". The record is from Rfam. Lineage: Eukaryota; Metazoa; Chordata; Mammalia; Rodentia; Caviidae.
GCCCUUCAUGAUUGCAUGAGUGUGAUGAUUGGAUUUUCAUGCCACAUACAAGAGAUGUGGCUCCCACUAACUUUGUUACCAUGUUGCACAUUUCCCAUCUAAUA